CCUACGGGUGGCAGCAGUGAGGAAUAUUGGUCAAUGGACGAGAGUCUGAACCAGCCAAGUAGCGUGAAGGAUGACUGCCCUAUGGGUUGUAAACUUCUUUUAUAAAGGAAUAAAACGAGGCACGUGUGCCUUUUUGCAUGUACUUUAUGAAUAAGGAUCGGCUAACUCCGUGCCAGCAGCCGCGGUAAUACGGAGGAUCCGAGCGUUAUCCGGAUUUAUUUGGUUUAAAGGGAGCGUAGAUGGGUUGUUAAGUCAGUUGUGAAAGUUUGCGGCUCAACCGUAAAAUUGCACUUGAUACUGGCAAUCUUGAGUACAGUUGAGGUAUGCGGAAUGCGUGGUGUAGCGGUGAAAUGCUUAGAGAUCACGAAGAACCCCGAUUGCGAAGGCAGCUUACUAAACUGUGACUGACAUUGAUGCUCGAAAGUGUGGGGAUCAAACAGGAUUAGAUACCCGAGUAGUC
RNAcentral lists this ribosomal RNA (460 nucleotides) under uncultured bacterium. RNAcentral's name for it is "partial 16S ribosomal RNA". It matches the Rfam family "Bacterial small subunit ribosomal RNA", at positions 338 to 795 of the family's 1533-position model. The record is from RNAcentral.